AUACGGGGAUUCCCUAGUACGGCGAGUGAGCGGGAAGAGCUCAAAUUUGAAAUCUGGUGGCCUCAGGUCAUCCGAGUUGUAAUCUAUAGAAGUGUUUUCCGUGCUGGCUCAUGUACAAGUCCCUUGGAACAGGGCGUCAUAGAGGGUGAGAAUCCCGUCCUUGACAUGAACUACCAGUGCUCUGUGAUACAUUUUCAACGAGUCGAGUUGUUUGGGAAUGCAGCUCAAAAUGGGUGGUAAAUUCCAUCUAAAGCUAAAUAUUGGCGAGAGACCGAUAGCGAACAAGUACCGUGAGGGAAAGAUGAAAAGCACUUUGGAAAGAGAGUUAAACAGUAUGUGAAAUUGUUGAAAGGGAAACGAUUGAAGUCAGUCGUGCUCUUUGGAUUCAGCCGGUUCUGCCGGUGUACUUCCUUUGAGUGGGGUCAACAUCAGUUUUGAUCGCUGGAUAAAGGCUGGAGGAACGUAGUACCCUCGGGUAAACUUAUAGCCUCCUGUCACAUACAGUGGUUGGGACUGAGGAACGCAGCACGCCUUUAUGGCCGGGAUUCGUCCACGUACGUGCUUAGGAUGUUGACAUAAUGGCUUUAAACGACCCGUCUA
This 600-nucleotide ribosomal RNA is filed under the name Filobasidium magnum. RNAcentral describes it as "partial large subunit ribosomal RNA". It matches the Rfam family "Eukaryotic large subunit ribosomal RNA", at positions 66 to 655 of the family's 3401-position model. The record is from RNAcentral. Lineage: Eukaryota; Fungi; Basidiomycota; Tremellomycetes; Filobasidiales; Filobasidiaceae.